This is a long non-coding RNA of Oncorhynchus nerka (sockeye salmon), 271 nucleotides long. RefSeq lists it as uncharacterized. The record is from RefSeq and is a predicted model, not a curated record. Lineage: Eukaryota; Metazoa; Chordata; Actinopteri; Salmoniformes; Salmonidae. The transcript has 3 exons.
AGUACAAUGACAACACUAGGAAAUAUGCGAAAGCCGAGACGUUGAUGACGGUGACUGAUGCGGUGCACGACAUAGCCUUCUCCCCGAACCUGGGGCGGUCCUUCCACGUGCUCGCCAUAGCAACCAAAGAUGUUCGGAUCUUUAAGUUGGUACCUUUGCGGAAGGAGAGCAGCUCAACAGGCCCUACUAAAGUGCCCAUAUGUUAUACUGACCUGUUCUGCAUCUCUCUCUCGUCGGACAGGAAGGAGAGCAGCUCAACAGGCCCUACUAA